UCUAUACGGAGUUACAAAGGACGACAUUAGACGAAUCAUCUGGAAAGAUGAAUCAAAGAAGGUAAUAAUCCUGUAGUCGAAAAUGUUGUCUCUCUUGAGUGGAUCCUGAGUACGACGGAGCACGUGAAAUUCCGUCGGAAUCUGGGAGGACCAUCUCCUAAGGCUAAAUACUCUCUAGUGACCGAUAGUGAACCAGUACCGUGAGGGAAAGGUGAAAAGCACCCCGGAAGGGGAGUGAAAUAGAACCUGAAACCGUGUGCUUACAAGUAGUCAGAGCCCGUUAAUGGGUGAUGGCGUGCCUUUUGUAGAAUGAACCGGCGAGUUACGAUUUGAUGCAAGGUUAAGCAGUAAAUGUGGAGCCGUAGCGAAAGCGAGUCUGAAUAGGGCGUUUAGUAUUUGGUCGUAGACCCGAAACCAGGUGAUCUACCCUUGGUCAGGUUGAAGUUCAGGUAACACUGAAUGGAGGACCGAACCGACUUACGUUGAAAAGUGAGCGGAUGAACUGAGGGUAGCGGAGAAAUUCCAAUCGAACCUGGAGAUAGCUGGUUCUCUCCGAAAUAGCUUUAGGGCUAGCCUCAAGUGAUGAUUAUUGGAGGUAGAGCACUGUUUGGACGAGGGGCCCCUCUCGGGUUACCGAAUUCAGACAAACUCCGAAUGCCAAUUAAUUUAACUUGGGAGUCAGAACAUGGGUGAUAAGGUCCGUGUUCGAAAGGGAAACAGCCCAGACCACCAGCUAAGGUCCCAAAAUAUAUGUUAAGUGGAAAAGGAUGUGGCGUUG
Molecule: ribosomal RNA, 778 nt
Filed under: Staphylococcus aureus
Lineage: Bacteria; Bacillati; Bacillota; Bacilli; Caryophanales; Staphylococcaceae
Description: partial 23S ribosomal RNA
Rfam family: Bacterial large subunit ribosomal RNA
Source: RNAcentral